UUUGUUUUCAUGUCUUGGGUAACACAGAAGAAAAACAAGAGUUGUACAUGUCAGGGGUUGUGUAGCGGGGACGAUCUGAUAUCGUCGUGUUGGCGUUGUUCCCACAUCAUCAUAAUUAAUGUUCUUCCAGGGUCCACAUUACAAGUAACCAAUCACCUUCUUGUGACGUCAUACUUUUGCGACUUCGCCUUAAAAAAACAAAUGUUCUUCGAGAAACCGCCUUUUGUCCGCUGAUCCAGCAAUUUCAAUUCCUCUCAAGAUACUUUUCUUUAAUAAACGAGCAUUUAUGGUUGACAAAGACUUUGCGGAAAUAAAUGCUUUGCAGAAGGUUUUUCCAGAGUCAGCUAUCCUUCUAUGCUGGUGCCAUGUCUUGCAGGCUGCUAAUCGAUGGCUUUCAAAAUCUGAGUCUGGGGUCCAUGGGCUUUCUAACACCCAAAAGAGAAAUGAAAUCAUUUCUUUCUUUUGUAAGCUGAAAGCUUGCACAUCUUGUGGUAUGUUGGAGCAGCGGUUUAUCGGCAGCUGAGAGGAAGAGGUUGGAUAAACUCAUCAGGAAGGCCAGCUCUGUUCUGGGAUGCACCCUGGACCCAGUGCAGGUGGUGGGAGACAGAAGGACUCUGGCCAAAAUAACAUCUCUGAUGGACAGAGUCUCCCACCCCAUGCAUGUAAAUGUUGCUGAACUGCAGAGCUCCUUCAGUGACAGACUGCUGCAUCCUAGAUGCAUGAAGGAGCGUUUCCGCAGGUCCUUCCUCCCUGCAGCUGUCAGACUGUACAAUCAGAACUGCUCCCAACAAUCAUAGAUGUUUACAUCAGCACUGUAACUGCAAUAAGUUAAUCAACCGAUUCGCACUACAACCUGGUUUGCCUCUUAUCUGUAGUUAUUUUUAUUUAAUUUAAUAACUGUACAGUACUCUCUGUAUAUAGUAACCAUUGUCCUUAAUGUAAAUAUGUAAGAAAAAUUGUGUAUGUUUCUGUGCUGUGUCCUGUUUGUUUGUAUAUGUGUCUUUUUGGCUGCUGUUACAACCAAAUUUCCCCUUGUGGGACAAUUAAAGGAUUAUUCUAUUCUAUUGUGUCACCCACAGUGCAGUAGAACUUGUGAGUGGGAUUCUUUCACAGACAGAUGCUGAAACCAAAUAUGCUUAUAGGUUUAGUGUUCCUUCUUAGCCAUUGUAAGGGAAGAAAUAAUUGCUUCUUAAUACAAAAACACAACAUAUUAUUAAUAACUUAAAAUUCUUAAUGUUAGUCAUAAAGUCAUGUCAG
Long non-coding RNA from Oreochromis aureus, 1257 nucleotides. NCBI's taxonomy places the organism in Eukaryota, Metazoa, Chordata, Actinopteri, Cichliformes, Cichlidae. The record is from Ensembl.